RNAcentral lists this ribosomal RNA (253 nucleotides) under uncultured Bacteroides sp. Its description in RNAcentral is "partial 16S ribosomal RNA". It matches the Rfam family "Bacterial small subunit ribosomal RNA", at positions 524 to 776 of the family's 1533-position model. The record is from RNAcentral. Lineage: Bacteria; Pseudomonadati; Bacteroidota; Bacteroidia; Bacteroidales; Bacteroidaceae.
UACGGAGGAUGCGAGCGUUAUCCGGAUUUAUUGGGUUUAAAGGGUGCGUAGGCGGAUUUGUAAGUCAGUUGUGAAAGUUUGCGGCUCAACCGUAAAAUUGCAGUUGAAACUGGCAGUCUUGAGUACAGUAGAGGUGGGCGGAAUUCGUGGUGUAGCGGUGAAAUGCUUAGAUAUCACGAAGAACUCCGAUUGCGAAGGCAGCUCACUGGACUGCAACUGACGCUGAGGCUCGAAAGCGUGGGUAUCGAACAGG